UGCAGUCGAGCGGACAGAUGGGAGCUUGCUCCCUGAUGUUAGCGGCGGACGGGUGAGUAACACGUGGGUAACCUGCCUGUAAGACUGGGAUAACUCCGGGAAACCGGGGCUAAUACCGGAUGCUUGUUUGAACCGCAUGGUUCAAACAUAAAAGGUGGCUUCGGCUACCACUUACAGAUGGACCCGCGGCGCAUUAGCUAGUUGGUGAGGUAAUGGCUCACCAAGGCAACGAUGCGUAGCCGACCUGAGAGGGUGAUCGGCCACACUGGGACUGAGACACGGCCCAGACUCCUACGGGAGGCAGCAGUAGGGAAUCUUCCGCAAUGGACGAAAGUCUGACGGAGCAACGCCGCGUGAGUGAUGAAGGUUUUCGGAUCGUAAAGCUCUGUUGUUAGGGAAGAACAAGUACCGUUCGAAUAGGGCGGUACCUUGACGGUACCUAACCAGAAAGCCACGGCUAACUACGUGCCAGCAGCCGCGGUAAUACGUAGGUGGCAAGCGUUGUCCGGAAUUAUUGGGCGUAAAGGGCUCGCA
Molecule: ribosomal RNA, 534 nt
Filed under: Bacillus sp. LT30
Lineage: Bacteria; Bacillati; Bacillota; Bacilli; Caryophanales; Bacillaceae
Description: bacterial SSU rRNA
Rfam family: Bacterial small subunit ribosomal RNA
Source: RNAcentral